RNAcentral lists this long non-coding RNA (702 nucleotides) under Oreochromis niloticus (Nile tilapia). Its description in RNAcentral is "lncRNA (ENSONIG00000034541.1)". The record is from RNAcentral. Lineage: Eukaryota; Metazoa; Chordata; Actinopteri; Cichliformes; Cichlidae.
AUAUUUAAUAAUUAAAUUAACAAAUUAUUUUCUCUCCAUUUUGCCUCCGUAGAAACAAAAACCCAGCAGAAGCUUCCAGCUGUGAAAAGAAGCCGUUUCAGAGCUGUUGAAGUGAACCUGGUGGUUCUGUUUCUGCUGAUUCUGGCUGGAAUCACAACACGCUAUAUUUUGGUGAGUUUGGAAAAAGAGCAGCUGAAGGUUUGACAUUAAGAGAAGUGUCCUGAUCGAUGGACGAGAUUUGGAAGCAGCUGUUACUUUAAAUCCACUGAGUGGAAAACUUGGUCUGAGAGCAGGAGAGACUGUCGGGAUAAAGGAGCUGAUCUGGUGAUGAUAAACAGCAAAGAGGAACAGGAAUUUAUCAGGAACAUGAGAGGAGAGUCGUGGAUUGGUCUGUAUUCUAAACAGACAUCAGGAAGAUAUAAAUGGGAAUGGGUGGACGAAUCAGCGCUGACAGAAAUGUGAGACAUUAGUUUGUUUGUACUACAGAGUUGUUUAAGAAGCUUGGAAAGAAAAGGACAGCUAUAAGUUGCUUGAAGACAUUUCACCUCUCAUCUGAGAAGCUUCUUCAGUUCUAAGGUCAAAUGGUGGAGAAUCCCAGAUUUAAGCCCUGUGGGAGUGUCCCCCCCCCAAGAGGGGAGACAAUGGACCUCCUAAUGAUCCUCUACCUAGUCACACAAGCCAAGGUGUGAAAAUGGGUGUAGG